GGAUCCGUAGCUCAGAUGGCAGAGCGCCUGCUCGACGCGCAGGUGGUCGCAGGUUCGAGCCCUGCCGGACCCA
RNAcentral lists this transfer RNA (73 nucleotides) under Ornithinimicrobium humiphilum. It matches the Rfam family "tRNA". From Rfam's summary of the family: Transfer RNA (tRNA) molecules are approximately 80 nucleotides in length. Their secondary structure includes four short double-helical elements and three loops (D, anti-codon, and T loops). Further hydrogen bonds mediate the characteristic L-shaped molecular structure. tRNAs have two regions of fundamental functional importance: the anti-codon, which is responsible for specific mRNA codon recognition, and the 3' end, to which the tRNAs corresponding amino acid is attached (by aminoacyl-tRNA synthetases). tRNAs cope with the degeneracy of the genetic code in two manners: having more than one tRNA (with a specific anti-codon) for a particular amino acid; and 'wobble' base-pairing, i.e. permitting non-standard base-pairing at the 3rd anti-codon position. The record is from Rfam by way of RNAcentral. Lineage: Bacteria; Bacillati; Actinomycetota; Actinomycetes; Micrococcales; Ornithinimicrobiaceae.